UAAUUUAAAAUUUUGGUUCAAAAAGUUAAAAAGUGUGUUUUUUGCGUUUAGUGUUUGUGUUUUUUAACUUGUUUUGAUUUGUUAGGUUAAGUUGUUUGUGUCAAAAAACGUUUCAUAUGGACCCCAUGGAAGACGUUAGGAAUAAAAUUCAUAAUUACGCAAGACCCUCUUCAACCCGGCGCAGUAUGACUGUUGUUGACAACAUCGUGGCACAGAAAAUGAUUGCCAAUGCGUAUUCAUUUUUCAAGAAGGAA
Molecule: long non-coding RNA, 254 nt
Organism: Zophobas morio
Lineage: Eukaryota; Metazoa; Arthropoda; Insecta; Coleoptera; Tenebrionidae
Exons: 3
Source: RefSeq, a predicted model, not a curated record